This 73-nucleotide transfer RNA is filed under the name Camelus bactrianus (Bactrian camel). It matches the Rfam family "tRNA". From Rfam's summary of the family: Transfer RNA (tRNA) molecules are approximately 80 nucleotides in length. Their secondary structure includes four short double-helical elements and three loops (D, anti-codon, and T loops). The record is from Rfam by way of RNAcentral. RNAcentral also lists the same sequence under 2 other names. Lineage: Eukaryota; Metazoa; Chordata; Mammalia; Artiodactyla; Camelidae.
GAGGGUAUAGCUCAAGUGGUAGAGUGCAUGCUUAGCAUGCACGAGGUCCUGGGUUCAAUCCCUAGUACCUCUU